This 200-nucleotide ribosomal RNA is filed under the name uncultured bacterium. RNAcentral's name for it is "partial 16S ribosomal RNA". It matches the Rfam family "Bacterial small subunit ribosomal RNA", at positions 524 to 721 of the family's 1533-position model. The record is from RNAcentral.
GACGAGGGGGUCCUAGCGUUGUUCGGAAUCACUGGGCGUAAAGCGUAUGUAGGCGGGCUUUUAAGUCAGGUGUGAAAUCCCAUGGCUCAACCAUGGAAUUGCAUUUGAAACUGGAAGUCUUUGAAUGUGGGAGAGAUUGGUAGAAUACCUAGUGUAGUGGUGAAAUACGUAGAUAUUAGGUGGAAUACCGGUGGCGAAGG